UGGUGCUGGUGCUUUUGAUGUCGCUGUCGCGACUGUUACCCUUCAGUGUGCGUUUGCACGUUGAACACGACGGUACAUGUAGCUGAGUGUAAGGAGUCUUCAAUGCGAUUUGUUUGAUCUUGCAACAGUGCAUAAAUACAAAAAAAAAACAAAAAAAAUUAUAAAUUAAAUUAAAUAAUCCAAAAAGUACAUAAAAGAAGUUGGGAAAGUGUGGCAACAUCCAUAAAACUAACUUAAGUUGUUGUUAUACCAAAUACCGCGUUGACAGCCGCAAGUGGCAGAAGCUCAAGCAGCUGUCUGAAAUAAGUACGACCAAGAAGCUGCCACAGAGCUCUGUUGAGAGCCCAAGUGGCCAAUCGCAAACAGCGGCAACAACGUUGGCGUGCAACGUCCUUGACAUAGAGCGGACGAACACACAAAUCAGUCCAGAGUGAAGUGGAAGACGACAUCAUCGGACGAUGAAUUGGACGCGCGUGUUGCUAAUCGGCCUGGUGGCCGUCUUGACGCUGGCACUUGUGGAGGUUGCAUCACUCUCACUGGAUCCAGUUGCUUCUGCUGAGCUGGAACAGUUUAUCAGGAAAGGCGAUGUGGUAAUUUCCACGCGUCACAUAAGACCGCGACGCAAACUGCAUAUAUCCAUUGAGGCGCUGUUCAUGAUCGACUUUCCCAUGCUGAAGCAUAAGAUGUCCUUCUUCCUGGACCGCAAGCAGCAGCGCGUUACUCUGGACAUAAGCGCCAAUGGAGCGACAGAGUCACGCAACUUUGAGAUACCCAACAUAAAUGAGACGAGCACCAUACGAUCGUUGGCCCUGCAGUUCUCGAAGAAUCGCAUUACACUCCAUGUGGACUGCAAGCCGAGCACUUUCCACGACAUUGACAUGAGCCUGUCCAAGCUGUAUACCCAAAUGGAUGAUCCAGUGAUUAAGCUGUUCAGGGAACGCAAAUAUCCACUACACUUUGAUGCAGACAUGGAACACUCGCUGCAGCGUGCCAACUGUCAAAAGGGUCUCCAUCGCCGGGGCAAUCGGCGCAUGCUGCGGAACAAGAUCUCCGAGCGUGAGAAGAACAAGAAACGCGAUGUGCGCAGCAAUUGGUACCAUGAGCCAACUCUGGCACGGGACGGCGUCGAUCAGCGUCAGCAGGAAAUACCUACGGAUGUGGAGCGUGGUGAUAUACCCAUCAUGCAUGGCGAUUGUGAAGACGCCCUCGCACGAUCGCUGAGCGAUCUUCUGGCAUUGGUUAAGCUGCUGCGCGAAGAUGUCGCCCACCAGCGUCAGGAGAUUGCCUACUUGCGCAUGCUCUUGGAGAACUGUGCGGGCUGCAAGGAGCCCAGCGGCGACAAUCAUAUACGCCUCGAGCCCAAUUGCCGCACUGCGAAUCCUUGUUAUCCUGGCGUUGAUUGCCACGAGACCGCCUCGGGACCCAGGUGCGGCCGUUGUCCUGCUGGCUUCAUUGGCGAUGGCAAAGUCUGCAAGCCGGGCGUCAGCUGCGCGGACAGGCCCUGUUUUCUAGGCGUUCAGUGUCACGAUACGGUGAACGGUGCCCAGUGUGACUCCUGUCCGGCUGGCUAUGAAGGUGAUGGACGCACAUGUUCGCUACGUAAUCCUUGCCUGGACACACCAUGCCCCUCAGGUGUCGAGUGCAUUCAGCUUGGCUUCCCGCCCUACUUCCAGUGCAUCUCCUGUCCACGUGGCCACAAAAUCAAUGGCACCACCUGCCACGACGUGGACGAGUGUGCGAUCUAUCAGCCCUGCGAUGAACGGGCCAUUUGCAGCAAUCUUAAUCCCGGCUUUCGCUGUGGACCCUGCCCGCCCGGCUUCGAUGGCAUCCAUGCACAUGGCUAUUCGGCGGACUACUUGGCAGUGGGCUUUCAAAAGCAAACCUGCUUGGAUAUAGACGAGUGCAAAAUGGGCUUCUUUAGAUGUCCGGAACAUGCUGUCUGUCAUAAUAGCAUUGGCUCCUACAGAUGUCAGUGUCAGGAUGGCUAUGUGGCCAAUGGCACCUUCAGCUGUCUAUCUGCGGCCGAUCUAUGUCCCGAUGGCAGCAUCUGCGCCAGAAAUGCGGAAUGCGUGCCCACGGAUAAUUAUCAUUACCAAUGCCGCUGCAGCGUCGGCUGGGCGGGCAAUGGGCGUGUCUGUGGCAGGGAUCGCGACCUGGAUGGCUGGCCGGAUGAGUCGCUGAACUGUGCUGAGGCGCAUUGCCGUCGCGACAACUGUCCAGACUUGCCGAAUUCUGGUCAGGAGGAUGCCGAUCUGGAUGGCAUGGGCGAUGGCUGCGACGAUGAUGCCGACAGCGACCAGGUUUUAAACGGCAAGGACAACUGUCCGUUUGCCUUCAAUAGCGAUCAGCUGGACUCGGAUCAUGAUGGCGUGGGCGAUGCCUGUGACAAUUGUGUCUUUAUUUCGAAUCGCCGGCAGCUGGACACCGACGAGGAUGGCCUGGGCAAUGAGUGCGACGAGGAUAUGGACAACGAUUCAGUGCUUAAUCAGUAUGACAAUUGUCCUGCGCUGCGCAAUCCGAAUCAAUCCGAUGUGGACAACGAUGGCGUGGGCGAUUUGUGCGACAAUUGUCCAACCAUACCAAAUCCCACGCAGGAAGAUCGGGACAUGGAUCUAGUGGGCGAUGCCUGCGACAGCGACAUUGAUGGCGAUGAUGACGGCAUACAGGACUCAGAGGAUAAUUGCCCCAUGGUCAGCAACUCAGAUCAACUGGACACGGAUGAGGAUGGCAAGGGCGAUGCCUGUGACGAUGACAUGGAUGGCGAUGGCGUGCCCAACUACAGAGACAACUGUCCACUGGCCAAGAAUCCGCAACAGUUAGACAUUAAUCACAAUGGCAAGGGCGAUGUCUGCGAGGACGACGAGGACGAGGACGGCACGCCCAACAUUAUCGAUAACUGUCCAAACAAUUCCAUGAUACAACGCACCGAUUUCCGCACUAUACGUUCGGUUAUCUUAGAUCCUGAGGGCGAUGCUCAGCUGGAUCCCAACUGGGAGGUGCAUGCAAAUGGUUCGGAGAUUAUACAAACUCUCAAUUCCGAUCCGGGCCUGGUGGUUGGUAGCGAUUCGUUUGGAGGUGUCGAUUUUGAGGGCACUUUCUAUGUCAACGAUGAUACGGACGAUGACUAUGUGGGCUUCAUCUUUAGCUACCAGAGCAAUCGCAAAUUCUAUGUGGUGCAGUGGAAGAAGGGCACCCAGACCUAUUGGCACUCGUCGCCCUUCCGCGCCUCGGCCGAGCCGGGCGUCCAGAUAAAGCUAAUUGACAGCAACACAGGUCCCGGCUCCAUGUUGCGUAACAGCUUGUGGCAUGCCGGCGACACGCCUGGCCAGGCAAGGCUGCUCUGGAAGGAUCCACUGAAUGCCGGCUGGAAGGAGAAGACCUCAUAUCGCUGGUCCCUAGUGCAUCGACCUUCCAUCGGGCUGAUCAGACUGCGCAUAUAUGAGGGCGAACGUUUGAUAUUGGACUCGCACAAUGUUUACGAUGCCACACUCACCCUCAAGGGCGGACGGCUGGGCGUUUUUUGUUUUUCCCAAGAAAUGAUUAUAUGGUCGGAUCUGGUUUACAAAUGCAACACACGCGUACCGCCCCUCAUCUACAACGAACUGCCCACACAUCUCAAGCUUAAAGUGGAACUGGAGAACUAAGCAGAGCCCAGCCGCGGUAUUUAUAUCUGGUUUCUGUCCCAGCUUUCAAAGCAGCAGAAGAUUGAAGGACUCAAGGAUUCGCAUCGAUUCAAAGGACAAUUACGAAUCUAACGAGGCUAUUCCUUCCAGGAUCGGACAUAUAUUAAGCCAUAUAUAUUUAUUUUAAGUUACAAUCG
RNAcentral lists this unclassified non-coding RNA (3820 nucleotides) under Drosophila virilis. RNAcentral's name for it is "GJ15486". The record is from RNAcentral. Lineage: Eukaryota; Metazoa; Arthropoda; Insecta; Diptera; Drosophilidae.